Molecule: ribosomal RNA, 1319 nt
Filed under: metagenome
Description: bacterial LSU rRNA
Rfam family: Bacterial large subunit ribosomal RNA
Source: RNAcentral
AGUGGAUGGGGAGCAACCUAGUUGUGCGUGUGUAAAGGUAGUGCCAAGAAAAGCGAUGAUCAUGUUGAAAAUCAAUUCCCGGUACCCGAAACCGACACAGGUGGGCAAGUAGAGAAUACUAAGGGGCGCGAGGUAACUCUCUCCAAGGAACUCGGCAAAAUGACCCCGUAACUUAGGGAGAAGGGGUGCCACCGAGAGGUGGUCGCAGUGAAGAGGCCCAGGCGACUGUUUAGCAAAAACAUAGGUCUCUGCAAACUCGAAAGAGGAGGUAUAGGGGCUGACGCCUGCCCAGUGCCGGAAGGUUAAAGAAGUUGGUCAGUUUUAGGAUGAAGCUAGCGACUGAAGCCCCGGUGAACGGCGGCCGUAACUAUAACGGUCCUAAGGUAGCGAAAUUCCUUGUCGGGCAAGUUCCGACCCGCACGAAAGGCGUAACGAUCUGGGCGCUGUCUCGGAGAGAGGCUCGGCGAAAUAGGAUUGUCUGUGAAGAUACGGACUACCUGCAUUUGGACAGAAAGACCCUAUGAAGCUUUACUAUAGCUUGGAAUUGUGUUCGGGCUUCCUGUGCGCAGGAUAGGUGGGAGGCGUAGAAGGUAUUCUUGUGGGGAUACUGGAGCCAACGGUGAGAUACCACUCUCAGGAGGCUAGAAUUCUAACUUAAUUAAGGACAGUUUCAGGUGGGUAGUUUGACUGGGGCGGUCGCCUCCAAAAAGGUAACGGAGGCGUACAAAGGUUCCCUCAGACUGGUUGGAAAUCAGUCGAAGAGUGCAAAGGCAGAAGGGAGCUUGACUGCGAGAAGUACAGUUCGAGCAGGGUGGAAACACGGUCUUAGUGAUCCGACGGUGCUGUGUGGAAGGGCCGUCGCUCAACGGAUAAAAGUUACUCUAGGAUAACAGGCUGAUCUCCCCCAAGAGUUCACAUCGACGGGGAGGUUUGGCACCUCGAUGUCGGCUCAUCGCAACCUGGGGCGGAAGUACGUCCCAAGGGUUGGGCUGUUCGCCCAUUAAAGCGGUACGUGAGCUGGGUUCAGAACGUCGUGAGACAGUUCGGUCCAUAUCCGAUGUAGGCGUGAGAAUAUUGAGAGGAGCCUUCCUUAGUACGAGAGGACCGGGAAGGACGCACCGCUGGUGUACCUGUUAUGAUGCCAAUUGUAAACGCAGGGUAGCCAAGUGCGGAGAGGAUAACCGCUGAAAGCAUCUAAGUGGGAAGCCCACCUCAAGAUGAGUAUUCUGGUGUAAGGUCACGGGAAGACGACCCGUAAAUAGGCACGAGGUGGAAGUGCAGAGAUGUAUGAAGCCGAAGUGUACUAAUAGACCGUCGGC